GACGAACGCUGGCGGCGUGCUUAACACAUGCAAGUCGAGCGGUAAGGCCCUUUCGGGGGUACACGAGCGGCGAACGGGUGAGUAACACGUGGGUGACCUGCCCUCAGCUCUGGGAUAAGCCUGGGAAACUGGGUCUAAUACCGGAUAUGACCUUUCCUCGCAUGGGGUUUGGUGGAAAGUCCUGGGCUUGAUUGUCUGGGUUCGGCUGGGGAUGGGCCCGCGGCCUAUCAGCUUGUUGGUGGGGUGAUGGCCUACCAAGGCGACGACGGGUAGCCGGCCUGAGAGGGCGACCGGCCACACUGGGACUGAGACACGGCCCAGACUCCUACGGGAGGCAGCAGUGGGGAAUAUUGCGCAAUGGGCGGAAGCCUGACGCAGCGACGCCGCGU
RNAcentral lists this ribosomal RNA (389 nucleotides) under uncultured bacterium. RNAcentral describes it as "bacterial SSU rRNA". It matches the Rfam family "Bacterial small subunit ribosomal RNA", at positions 28 to 402 of the family's 1533-position model. The record is from RNAcentral.